GUCGAGGGGUAUAGUAGCAAUACUAGAGACCGGCGCACGGGUGCGUAACGCGUAUGCAAUCUACCUUUUGCAGAGGGAUAGCCCAGAGAAAUUUGGAUUAAUACCUCAUAGUAUAACGACUCGGCAUCGAGAUGUUAUUAAAGUCACAACGGCAAAAGAUGAGCAUGCGUCCCAUUAGUUAGUUGGUAAGGUAACGGCUUACCAAGACUACGAUGGGUAGGGGUCCUGAGAGGGAGAUCCCCCACACUGGUACUGAGACACGGACCAGACUCCUACGGGAGGCAGCAGUGAGGAAUAUUGGACAAUGGGCGCAAGCCUGAUCCAGCCAUGCCGCGUGCAGGAUGACGGUCCUAUGGAUUGUAAACUGCUUUUGCACAGGAAGAAACAACGCUACGUGUAGCGUCUUGACGGUACUGUGAGAAUAAGGAUCGGCUAACUCCGUGCCAGCAGCCGCGGUAAUACGGAGGAUCCAAGCGUUAUCCGGAAUCAUUGGGUUUAAAGGGUCCGUAGGCGGUCUUAUAAGUCAGUGGUGAAAUCUCCCCGCUCAACGGGGAAACGGCCAUUGAUAUUGUAGGACUUGAAUUAUUAGGAAGUAACUAGAAUAUGUAGUGUAGCGGUGAAAUGCUUAGAGAUUACAUGGAAUACCAAUUGCGAAGGCAGGUUACUACUAAUGGAUUGACGCUGAUGGACGAAAGCGUGGGUAGCGAACAGGAUUAGAUACCCUGGUAGUCCACGCCGUAAACGAUGGAUACUAGCUGUUGGGGGCAACCUCAGUGGCUAAGCGAAAGUGAUAAGUAUCCCACCUGGG
RNAcentral lists this ribosomal RNA (808 nucleotides) under uncultured bacterium. RNAcentral's name for it is "bacterial SSU rRNA". It matches the Rfam family "Bacterial small subunit ribosomal RNA", at positions 61 to 877 of the family's 1533-position model. The record is from RNAcentral.